This is a long non-coding RNA of Pezoporus occidentalis (night parrot), 436 nucleotides long. RefSeq lists it as uncharacterized. The transcript has 3 exons. The record is from RefSeq and is a predicted model, not a curated record. Lineage: Eukaryota; Metazoa; Chordata; Aves; Psittaciformes; Psittacidae.
ACCACCGCCCUCCAAACGCCCGAGCGGCGCCGGCUGGCCCCGAGCGGCCGUUAACUCACAGCCCCCGCGGCUGAAGGGACGUGGCCGUUACAGCCGUUAGCGCGGCCGGGUUCCUCCGGGGGACUGGGGCACAAACGGAGAGAGCGGGCAGGGCGCUGCUCCGCCGCCGGAACGGGACGGAGAGAGGAGGAGAGGUCAAUAAAAAGCCAGCUGGAUUUUGGAUAAGGGACAGAACAGGCAGGACAACCCGCAGAGAUUCCCUCAUGCCCCAAGGGGAUUCUGUGAGGCCCAGCAACCCCACAAAGCUGCAGGUGCAGAGACUUUGAUCCCUCAUAUUUGCCAAGGAAGCGCUGAGAUUUCUGGAAAACUUCAGUGCAGAUGCCCAACAAAAUGCUGCUCUCUAAAGGUAAAUUCACACACACUGACAAGCUGCAAG